CAACUUUAUAUCUGUAAGCUCUGCCUCAAUAUCUGUGUGGAGAAGAGUGACGACAGACUGACACAGGCAGCCAAGGUGUUGGAGCAACUCACAGGCCAGACCCCUGUGUUUUCCAAAACUAGAUGCACUGUCAGAUCUUUUGUUUUCAGGAGAAAUGAAAAGAUUACUGUUGACUGCACAGUUCCAGGGGCCAAGGCAGAAGAAAUCCUGGAGAAAGGUCCAAAGGUAUGGGAGUAUGAAUUAUUUUUUCUUAACUUCUCAGAUACUGGAAACUUUGGUUUCCAGGAACACAAGAAUCUGGGUAUCAAAUAUGAA
Molecule: long non-coding RNA, 315 nt
Filed under: Homo sapiens (human)
Lineage: Eukaryota; Metazoa; Chordata; Mammalia; Primates; Hominidae
Description: non-protein coding lnc-AURKB-1:1
Source: RNAcentral